This 108-nucleotide small RNA is filed under the name Rhizobium giardinii. Its description in RNAcentral is "EcpR1". It matches the Rfam family "EcpR1". From Rfam's summary of the family: Perviously named SmelC291, SmrC10, or Sra33. According to its overproduction phenotype it was renamed Elongated Cell Phenotype RNA1. The record is from Rfam by way of RNAcentral. Lineage: Bacteria; Pseudomonadati; Pseudomonadota; Alphaproteobacteria; Hyphomicrobiales; Rhizobiaceae.
GUACCCCAUGAUGUCAGGUCCGCCGCAUCUCCUGGGUCGUGGGGUUUGUCGACUGAUCUGUGACCAACGCGGUUCCUCGUGCCGCGGUUUCGAUCAGUCGACACCCAU